GGUGCUUGUACUGCCUUCCAAAGUGAAGAGGAGAUGAACAUGGCUUUGCAUAGCUGAUGUUCUAUGCCAACUUACCUACUCUUGCUGGUACCGUAGUGGUAUAUUGCAAAUUUCGUGGACGAACAACUCUAGUCACUAGUGGCUAGUGAGCAACACUAACAGACCAGAAUGCUUCGCUAUCAACUCCUGGCUUUCCAUCGGCAUGGUGUUCAGCUGCAGCGGCAUCUGGUCCGGGGAGUUCAAGUUGCUGGAUGGCUGCACUGACACAGGAUGGGUUUGCGUUGGCAAUGCGAUACGGCAGUCAUCCCACAUCACGAGCUACAUGUUUAUGUAAUUUAUAUUGUCGCUCGUCCAGCAACGUCAAGGCUCUGCAUGUAAACACAGGAGAACACCAUAAUACUACUCAGGGGAUAAUAAUUUUGGAUAUCAAUUUCGUGACAAUUAUUAGAUUCACACAAUAUUCACAACGUAUGCAACACGAUGCUGUCUAUUGACACUACUUCAAACUGAAGUGCUCACUACUCCUCUCCCGUUUUCAUCUCCCUCUACCUUAUGAAUACUCUGCAUUACUGGUUUCGUUUCUACCCUUUCCAUUGCUGCCAGCUCCCAGUCUUUUUCAAUGCACAGCACCACCUUGACAGUCAUUUUUGUGAUUUGAUGUACACAUACUUUGAAGUUCAAAUUCGAAUUACAUGAUCAGAUUUUUGUUCCACA
Long non-coding RNA from Sycon ciliatum, 714 nucleotides. RefSeq lists it as uncharacterized. The transcript has 2 exons. The record is from RefSeq and is a predicted model, not a curated record. Lineage: Eukaryota; Metazoa; Porifera; Calcarea; Leucosolenida; Sycettidae.